Non-coding RNA from Camellia sinensis, 602 nucleotides. NCBI's taxonomy places the organism in Eukaryota, Viridiplantae, Streptophyta, Magnoliopsida, Ericales, Theaceae. The record is from RefSeq and is a predicted model, not a curated record.
UGGGCGAGGGGGUCGGGGCAACCCUAACUCGUUGAGAGUAGACUCUUCUGCUGUAGCUUCAAACCAAACAACUAAAUCCUGGGCUGAGGUUGCUACCAUGCCUAGUAGAUCUUCAAUUAAACUAAGAUGGGGAAGCUGAAAAGACUCAUUCAACCUAGGGACAUUACCAUAAACAUUGGAAAGGAUGCCCCAAUUCCCGAAUGCCCUAUCCCUGGUGAAAGGUGGUUGUUUCUGCCAUAAUUUUAUUGGAAAAUAGGAACAAAGUUGUGUCUCUGUUUUAAGAUUUUUAAUAAAUUAACUUUACAAAUAUUUGAUCUCUGCAGAUGGAAAGAAAUAAGGCAUGACAACACAGUUACAUGGCUUGCUUUUUGGAAUGAUCCAAUCAACCCAAAGGAAUUCAAAUACGUGUUCUUGGUAGCUAGCAGUUCUUUGAAAGGGCAAAGUGACAAGGAGAAAUAUGAGAAAUUAAGGAUGUUGAAGGACUACAUACAAGGCAUCAGAGCAGCAUAUACUAAGGAUUUUGCUAGUAAGGAUAUCACAAGGCGGCAAAUAGCAGUUGCCACCUAUCGUAUUGAUAAACUAGCUCUCAGGGCAGGCAAUGA